This 146-nucleotide ribosomal RNA is filed under the name uncultured bacterium. RNAcentral's name for it is "partial 16S ribosomal RNA". It matches the Rfam family "Bacterial small subunit ribosomal RNA", at positions 346 to 509 of the family's 1533-position model. The record is from RNAcentral.
AGGCAGCAGUGGGGAAUAUUGCACAAUGGGGGAAACCCUGAUGCAGCGACGCCGCGUGAGUGAAGAAGUAUUUCGGUAUGUAAAGCUCUAUCAGCAGGGAAGAAAAUGACGGUACCUGACUAAGAAGCCCCGGCUAACUACGUGCC